CAUUUUGUACAGAACAAAUGAAAUGAUGUGAAGGCUUGAGAGCAUUUUGGGAAGCAUAUAGCUACCAGUUUUGUGUUACCCUCCUUGGAUGGAGAUGAUAUAACAUCUUUAGUUUCUUGAAUCAACUUUCUCUCGUCAUCCUUAACAUCAAUGUGCAGAAUAUCCAAAAUUUUUGUCAUUGCUCAGGGGUUCUGUUAAUCGAUAGUAGUUUCUACUUAAUGAAUUGAAGUGAAAUUGGCAGUUUGUUAGAUUGCCAAUUACUGAGAGGAAUUGUUGACUUAAUGACCAGCUGUGAUUCGUUUCCUUUAGGCAUUUCUUGUUUAAAUUGUGCUCUGUUUGCAUGCAGC
Molecule: unclassified non-coding RNA, 347 nt
Filed under: Hevea brasiliensis (rubber tree)
Lineage: Eukaryota; Viridiplantae; Streptophyta; Magnoliopsida; Malpighiales; Euphorbiaceae
Source: RNAcentral